AUUGAACGCUGGCGGAAUGCUUUACACAUGCAAGUCGAACGGCAGCACGGGUGCUUGCACCUGGUGGCGAGUGGCGAACGGGUGAGUAAUACAUCGGAACGUACCCAGUUGUGGGGGAUAACGAGUCGAAAGAUUCGCUAAUACCGCAUACGACCUGAGGGUGAAAGCGGGGGACCGUAAGGCCUCGCGCAAUUGGAGCGGCCGAUGUCUGAUUAGCUAGUUGGUGGGGUAAAGGCUCACCAAGGCGACGAUCAGUAGCUGGUCUGAGAGGAUGAUCAGCCACACUGGAACUGAGACACGGUCCAGACUCCUACGGGAGGCAGCAGUGGGGAAUUUUGGACAAUGGGGGAAACCCUGAUCCAGCCAUUCCGCGUGAGUGAUGAAGGCCCUAGGGUUGUAAAACUCUUUUACUAGGGAUGAUAAUGACAGUACCUGGAGAAUAAGCUCCGGCUAACUCCGUGCCAGCAGCCGCGGUAAU
RNAcentral lists this ribosomal RNA (478 nucleotides) under uncultured bacterium. Its description in RNAcentral is "bacterial SSU rRNA". It matches the Rfam family "Bacterial small subunit ribosomal RNA", at positions 30 to 524 of the family's 1533-position model. The record is from RNAcentral.